Molecule: ribosomal RNA, 329 nt
Filed under: uncultured eukaryote
Lineage: Eukaryota
Description: partial 18S ribosomal RNA
Rfam family: Eukaryotic small subunit ribosomal RNA
Source: RNAcentral
CCCUUAGAUGUCCGGGGCUGCACGCGCGCUACACUGAAGGAAUCAGCGUGCUAGAAAACCUUGUUUGACAUGGCUAGGUAACCCGUUGAAAAUCUUUCGUGAUUGGGAUCGGGACUUGCAAAUGUGUCCCUUGAACGAGGAAUUCCCAGUAAGUGCGGGUCAUAAGCUCGCGCUGAUUACGUCCCUGCCCUUUGUACACACCGCCCGUCGCUCCUACCGAUUGGGUGUGCUGGUGAAAUGUUCGGAUCGGCCGUUUGUCGCGGUUUCCGCGUCAUGUGGCUGAGAAGUUCAUUAAACCCUCCCACCUAGAGGAAGGAGAAGUCGUAACA